GUUUAUGUGGCAAGGUUUUGGUAGCAGGGGGCCAUAGGAGUGGCUUCUGUGAAAAGGAUCUAAAAGCUGCCCCAUGUUAGGUAAGGGCCCCGGUGCUGACCAGAGCCGAGCCAAUAAGCGAUGUUACACAGAUUUCUAGGUUGGAAGAGACCUCAAGAU
This is a long non-coding RNA of Cygnus olor (mute swan), 159 nucleotides long. RefSeq lists it as uncharacterized. The record is from RefSeq and is a predicted model, not a curated record. NCBI's taxonomy places the organism in Eukaryota, Metazoa, Chordata, Aves, Anseriformes, Anatidae. The transcript is spliced from 3 exons.